This 369-nucleotide ribosomal RNA is filed under the name Triticum aestivum (bread wheat). RNAcentral describes it as "partial small subunit ribosomal RNA". The record is from RNAcentral. Lineage: Eukaryota; Viridiplantae; Streptophyta; Magnoliopsida; Poales; Poaceae.
GUGCAUCCGGUUUUUCAUGUAUCCCAAUUGAAGGGCCAUGUGCCAGAUCACAGUCCUGUGUUCACCACAUUACCAGUACCGGUGGAUUUGUCAGCACCAGGUGUCAUUCCUGAAGAAAUUCUCGAUCGUCACUUGGUCAAGAAGGGGAAUGCAGCGCAUUUGCAGAUUUUAGUCAAAUGGGCUACUGUACCUGCUGCAUCCGCAACCUGGGAAGACUAUGAGGUGCUCAAGGCUAGAUUUCCGAGCGCACCAGCUUGGGGACAAGCUGGUUCUUCAGGGGCGGGUACUGUAAGCAGCGGCUCACAGGCGAUCGGCGAUGAUGCGGUUCAGAAGACAAGCGGCGCGUACAGGAGAGGCAAGGAGAUUUAA